UACAGAGACUGCAAGCGUUAUUCGGAUUCACUGGGCGUAAAGGGUGCGCAGGCGGUUGGGUGUGUCAGAUGUGAAAUCCCGAGGCUUAACCUCGGAACUGCGUCUGAAACUACUCGACUAGAGUACUGGAGAGGGUAACGGAAUUCACGGUGUAGCAGUGAAAUACGUAGAUAUCGUGAGGAACACCAGAGGCGAAGGCGGUUACCUGGACAGUUACUGACGCUCAGGCACGAAAGCAUGGGGAGCAAAAGGG
RNAcentral lists this ribosomal RNA (253 nucleotides) under uncultured bacterium. Its description in RNAcentral is "partial 16S ribosomal RNA". It matches the Rfam family "Bacterial small subunit ribosomal RNA", at positions 524 to 776 of the family's 1533-position model. The record is from RNAcentral.